UCUCCACUUCAUUCCUCCUCGUAGAGAUGCAGCCUCCCGCAGGGCCCUGCAGGCAGCCAUCCAGCAGUUGGCUGAGGCCCAGCCAGAAGCCACUGCUAGGAACCUUCUGCACUCUCUGCAGUCUUCAGGCAUUGGCUCCAAAGCUGGUGUCCCCAGUAAGAGUAGCGGCUCUGCUGCCUUGCUGGCCCUGUCCUGGACCUGCUUACUGGUGCGCAUUGUCUUUCCCUCGAGAGCCAAGCGGCAAGGAGACAUCUGGAACAAACUGGUGGAGGUGCAGUGCCUACUCCUGUUGGAGGUGCUGGGUGGCUCCCACAGGCACGCCGUGGAUGGAGCCGUGAAGAAGCUCAGCAAGCUGUGGAAAGAGAACCCCGGGCUGGUGGAACAGUACUUGUCAGCCGUUCUCAGCCUAGAAC
Molecule: long non-coding RNA, 413 nt
Filed under: Ursus americanus (American black bear)
Lineage: Eukaryota; Metazoa; Chordata; Mammalia; Carnivora; Ursidae
Description: lncRNA (ENSUAMG00000026373.1)
Source: RNAcentral